RNAcentral lists this non-coding RNA (24 nucleotides) under Cricetulus griseus (Chinese hamster). The record is from RNAcentral. Lineage: Eukaryota; Metazoa; Chordata; Mammalia; Rodentia; Cricetidae.
UAGAUGUGUUAGACCAAAUGGGGA